This 513-nucleotide ribosomal RNA is filed under the name uncultured bacterium. RNAcentral's name for it is "partial 16S ribosomal RNA". It matches the Rfam family "Bacterial small subunit ribosomal RNA", at positions 28 to 523 of the family's 1533-position model. The record is from RNAcentral.
GACGAACGCUGGCGGCAUGCCUAAUACAUGCAAGUCGAGCGAACAGAUGAAGUGCUUGCACUUUUGACGUUAGCGGCGAACGGGUGAGUAACACGUAAGGAAUCUACCUAUAAGCGGGGGAUAACAUUCGGAAACGGGUGCUAAUACCGCAUAAUAUCUUCUUCAGCAUGGAAGAAGAUUGAAAGACGGCUCUGCUGUCACUUAUAGAUGACCUUGCGGUGCAUUAGUUAGUUGGUGGGGUAACGGCCUACCAAGACGAUGAUGCAUAGCCGACCUGAGAGGGUGAUCGGCCACAUGGGGACGGAGACACGGCCCAACCUCCUACGGGAGGCAGCAGUAGGGAAUCUUCCGCAAUGGGCGAAAGCCUGACGGAGCAAUGCCGCGUGAGUGAAGAAGGCCUUCGGGUCGUAAAACUCUGUUAUAAGAGAAGGACAAAUUGUAGAGUAACUGCUACAGUCUUGACGGUAUCUUAUCAGAAAGCCACGGCUAACUACGUGCCAGCCGCCGCAGUAA